RNAcentral lists this non-coding RNA (166 nucleotides) under Halomonas sp. RNAcentral's name for it is "FMN sequence". It matches the Rfam family "FMN riboswitch aptamer (RFN element)". From Rfam's summary of the family: The RFN element is a highly conserved domain that is found frequently in the 5'-untranslated regions of prokaryotic mRNAs that encode for flavin mononucleotide (FMN) biosynthesis and transport proteins. This element is a metabolite-dependent riboswitch that directly binds FMN in the absence of proteins. Lineage: Bacteria; Pseudomonadati; Pseudomonadota; Gammaproteobacteria; Oceanospirillales; Halomonadaceae. The record is from RNAcentral.
CAAUGUUCUCAGGGCGGGGUGAAAGUCCCCACCGGCGGUGAUGGUACCUUUCCUAACGAAAGCGGCCUAAGCCCGCGAGCGCUCUCACUGGUCUGCCCGUGAGAGGUCAGCAGAUUCGGUGAGAAACCGAAGCCGACGGUGAUAGUCCGGAUGAAAGAGAACGGUA